AGUUCGGAUUGGAGUCUGCAACUCGACUCCAUGAAGCUGGAUUCGCUAGUAAUCGCGCAUCAGCCAUGGCGCGGUGAAUACGUUCCCGGGCCUUGUACACACCGCCCGUCACACCAUGGGAGUUUGUAACGCCCAAAGUCGGUGGCCUAACCUUUAUGGAGGGAGCCGCCUAAGGCGGGACAGAUGACUGGGGUGAAGUCGUAACAAGGUACC
Molecule: ribosomal RNA, 213 nt
Filed under: uncultured bacterium
Lineage: Bacteria
Description: partial 16S ribosomal RNA
Rfam family: Bacterial small subunit ribosomal RNA
Source: RNAcentral